Molecule: unclassified non-coding RNA, 201 nt
Filed under: soil metagenome
Description: partial contains small subunit ribosomal RNA, internal transcribed spacer 1, and 5.8S ribosomal RNA
Source: RNAcentral
UCUCCGUUGGUGAACCAGCGGAGGGAUCAUUACCGAGUUUCUACUCUAAACCCUUGCGAACCUACCUUCAUGUGCUUCGGCGGGCCUCCCCCGGGGGGGCUCAGCACGGCCCGCCGAUGGCACCAAAAAUCUCUAUCAAGAGUCUUCUGAGUGGACAAAAAAAACAAGUCAAAACCUUCAACAACGGAUCUCUUGGUUCUG